AUUAAACGCUGGCGGCAUGCCUUACACAUGCAAGUCGAACGGCAGCACGGGGGCAACCCUGGUGGCGAGUGGCGGACGGGUGAGUAAUGCAUCGGAACGUGCCCUGAAGUGGGGGACAACGCAGCGAAAGCUACGCUAAUACCGCAUAUUCUGUGAGCAGGAAAGCAGGGGAUCGCAAGACCUUGCGCUUUGGGAGCGGCCGAUGUCGGAUUAGCUAGUUGGUGGGGUAAAGGCCUACCAAGGCGACGAUCCGUAGCGGGUCUGAGAGGAUGAUCCGCCACACUGGGACUGAGACACGGCCCAGACUCCUACGGGAGGCAGCAGUGGGGAAUUUUGGACAAUGGGCGGAAGCCUGAUCCAGCCAUGCCGCGUGAGUGAAGAAGGCC
RNAcentral lists this ribosomal RNA (386 nucleotides) under uncultured bacterium. Its description in RNAcentral is "bacterial SSU rRNA". It matches the Rfam family "Bacterial small subunit ribosomal RNA", at positions 29 to 416 of the family's 1533-position model. The record is from RNAcentral.